GUAGUCUGCAACUCGACUACAUGAAGCUGGAAUCGCUAGUAAUCGCGAAUCAGAAUGUCGCGGUGAAUACGUUCCCGGGUCUUGUACACACCGCCCGUCACACCAUGGGAGUCAGUAACGCCCGAAGUCGGCUAGGAAAUAGGCUGCCUAAGGUGAAACCAAUGACUGGGGUGAAGUCGUAACAAGGUAGC
Molecule: ribosomal RNA, 191 nt
Filed under: uncultured bacterium
Lineage: Bacteria
Description: partial 16S ribosomal RNA
Rfam family: Bacterial small subunit ribosomal RNA
Source: RNAcentral